GGAAUUGAUUCAGAUUAACCACUGACAUGUUUUUUUGAACCUCGAGAUUAAGUAUGUGCUUCAUCCGCUGUGACAGAUGUCUCGAGUUGUGUGGCAAGUGGAAGCGGUGACGUCUCAAGCUCAUUUAGUGUUAGACGAUCUAUGGAGGAAAGGAACAAGAAGAACAGGAAGACAAAGAGAUAUAUUGUCGAGGAUUUGGAAAUAGAAAACAUUAAGCUAGAAAAUGCAAAACUUGUUCUAGAAAUGAAGAAGCUUGAAUUAGAACAGAGAAAAUUAGA
This is a long non-coding RNA of Ostrea edulis (European flat oyster), 278 nucleotides long. RefSeq lists it as uncharacterized. The transcript is spliced from 3 exons. The record is from RefSeq and is a predicted model, not a curated record. Lineage: Eukaryota; Metazoa; Mollusca; Bivalvia; Ostreida; Ostreidae.